This 2617-nucleotide ribosomal RNA is filed under the name Salmonella enterica subsp. enterica serovar Enteritidis. RNAcentral describes it as "partial 23S ribosomal RNA". It matches the Rfam family "Bacterial large subunit ribosomal RNA". The record is from RNAcentral. Lineage: Bacteria; Pseudomonadati; Pseudomonadota; Gammaproteobacteria; Enterobacterales; Enterobacteriaceae.
AAUCCAUAGGUUAAUGAGGCGAACCGGGGGAACUGAAACAUCUAAGUACCCCGAGGAAAAGAAAUCAACCGAGAUUCCCCCAGUAGCGGCGAGCGAACGGGGAGGAGCCCAGAGCCUGAAUCAGCAUGUGUGUUAGUGGAAGCGUCUGGAAAGGCGCGCGAUACAGGGUGACAGCCCCGUACACAAAAGCGCAUGUGCUGUGAGCUCGAUGAGUAGGGCGGGACACGUGGUAUCCUGUCUGAAUAUGGGGGGACCAUCCUCCAAGGCUAAAUACUCCUGACUGACCGAUAGUGAACCAGUACCGUGAGGGAAAGGCGAAAAGAACCCCGGCGAGGGGAGUGAAAAAGAACCUGAAACCGUGUACGUACAAGCAGUGGGAGCACCCUUUGGGUGUGACUGCGUACCUUUUGUAUAAUGGGUCAGCGACUUAUAUUCUGUAGCAAGGUUAACCGAAUAGGGGAGCCGGAGGGAAACCGAGUCUUAAUUGGGCGUUAAGUUGCAGGGUAUAGACCCGAAACCCGGUGAUCUAGCCAUGGGCAGGUUGAAGGUUGGGUAACACUAACUGGAGGACCGAACCGACUAAUGUUGAAAAAUUAGCGGAUGACCUGUGGCUGGGGGUGAAAGGCCAAUCAAACCGGGAGAUAGCUGGUUCUCCCCGAAAGCUAUUUAGGUAGCGCCUCGUGAAUUCAUCUCCGGGGGUAGAGCACUGUUUCGGCUAGGGGGCCAUCCCGGCUUACCAACCCGAUGCAAACUGCGAAUACCGGAGAAUGUUAUCACGGGAGACACACGGCGGGUGCUAACGUCCGUCGUGAAGAGGGAAACAACCCAGACCGCCAGCUAAGGUCCCAAAGUCAUGGUUAAGUGGGAAACGAUGUGGGAAGGCCCAGACAGCCAGGAUGUUGGCUUAGAAGCAGCCAUCAUUUAAAGAAAGCGUAAUAGCUCACUGGUCGAGUCGGCCUGCGCGGAAGAUGUAACGGGGCUAAACCAUGCACCGAAGCUGCGGCAGCGACGCUUAUGCGUUGUUGGGUAGGGGAGCGUUCUGUAAGCCUGCGAAGGUGGCCUGUGAGGGUUGCUGGAGGUAUCAGAAGUGCGAAUGCUGACAUAAGUAACGAUAAAGCGGGUGAAAAGCCCGCUCGCCGGAAGACCAAGGGUUCCUGUCCAACGUUAAUCGGGGCAGGGUGAGUCGACCCCUAAGGCGAGGCCGAAAGGCGUAGUCGAUGGGAAACGGGUUAAUAUUCCCGUACUUGGUGUUACUGCGAAGGGGGGACGGAGAAGGCUAUGUUGGCCGGGCGACGGUUGUCCCGGUUUAAGCGUGUAGGCUGGUUUUCCAGGCAAAUCCGGAAAAUCAAGGCUGAGGCGUGAUGACGAGGCACUACGGUGCUGAAGCAACAAAUGCCCUGCUUCCAGGAAAAGCCUCUAAGCAUCAGGUAACAUCAAAUCGUACCCCAAACCGACACAGGUGGUCAGGUAGAGAAUACCAAGGCGCUUGAGAGAACUCGGGUGAAGGAACUAGGCAAAAUGGUGCCGUAACUUCGGGAGAAGGCACGCUGACACGUAGGUGAAGUGAUUUACUCACGGAGCUGAAGUCAGUCGAAGAUACCAGCUGGCUGCAACUGUUUAUUAAAAACACAGCACUGUGCAAACACGAAAGUGGACGUAUACGGUGUGACGCCUGCCCGGUGCCGGAAGGUUAAUUGAUGGGGUCAGCGCAAGCGAAGCUCCUGAUCGAAGCCCCGGUAAACGGCGGCCGUAACUAUAACGGUCCUAAGGUAGCGAAAUUCCUUGUCGGGUAAGUUCCGACCUGCACGAAUGGCGUAAUGAUGGCCAGGCUGUCUCCACCCGAGACUCAGUGAAAUUGAACUCGCUGUGAAGAUGCAGUGUACCCGCGGCAAGACGGAAAGACCCCGUGAACCUUUACUAUAGCUUGACACUGAACAUUGAGCCUUGAUGUGUAGGAUAGGUGGGAGGCUUUGAAGCGUGGACGCCAGUCUGCGUGGAGCCGACCUUGAAAUACCACCCUUUAAUGUUUGAUGUUCUAACGUGGACCCGUUACCCGGGUUGCGGACAGUGUCUGGUGGGUAGUUUGACUGGGGCGGUCUCCUCCUAAAGAGUAACGGAGGAGCACGAAGGUUGGCUAAUCCUGGUCGGACAUCAGGAGGUUAGUGCAAUGGCAUAAGCCAGCUUGACUGCGAGCGUGACGGCGCGAGCAGGUGCGAAAGCAGGUCAUAGUGAUCCGGUGGUUCUGAAUGGAAGGGCCAUCGCUCAACGGAUAAAAGGUACUCCGGGGAUAACAGGCUGAUACCGCCCAAGAGUUCAUAUCGACGGCGGUGUUUGGCACCUCGAUGUCGGCUCAUCACAUCCUGGGGCUGAAGUAGGUCCCAAGGGUAUGGCUGUUCGCCAUUUAAAGUGGUACGCGAGCUGGGUUUAGAACGUCGUGAGACAGUUCGGUCCCUAUCUGCCGUGGGCGCUGGAGAACUGAGGGGGGCUGCUCCUAGUACGAGAGGACCGGAGUGGACGCAUCACUGGUGUUCGGGUUGUCAUGCCAAUGGCACUGCCCGGUAGCUAAAUGCGGAAGAGAUAAGUGCUGAAAGCAUCUAAGCACGAAACUUGCCCCGAG